Arachis ipaensis is the source of this 218-nucleotide non-coding RNA. NCBI's taxonomy places the organism in Eukaryota, Viridiplantae, Streptophyta, Magnoliopsida, Fabales, Fabaceae. The record is from RefSeq and is a predicted model, not a curated record.
CUUGAGUUGAGGCUUGCUGUCGGGCUUUCUGGUCUGCAUGGGCCUGCCUGGGAGAAGGAGAAACGGGAGAAAGAAAGGAGUGAGCUGCGCGAUCUUGUUGGGAAGAAUCUCCAUGUUCUCAGUCAGAUAGAGGGUGUUGAUCUUGAUAUGUACAAAGAUAUUGUACUUCCCAGAGUAUUAGAGCAGCUUGUAAAUUGCAAAGAUGAUUGUUCUUCCCA